GAUGAACGCUGGCGGCGUGCCUAAUACAUGCAAGUCGAGCGAACAGAUGAGGAGCUUGCUCCUCUGACUUUAUCGGCGGUCGGGAGCGUAACACGUGGAUAACAUAACUAUCCGAAUGGGAUAAUUUCGGGAAACCGUGGCUAAUACCGGAUAAUAUAUUGACCCGCAUGGUUCAAUCGUUAGAGAAGGUAUUUCUUUCACUUAUAGCCGGCUAAGCGCCGCAUUAGCUAGUUGGUAAGGUAACGGCUUACCAAGGCAAGGAUGCGAAACCGACCUGAGAGGGUGAUCGGCCACACUGGAACUGAGGCACGGCCCAGACUCCUAGGGUAGGACGCAGUAGGGAAUCUUCCGCAAGGGAGGAAAGCCUGACGGAGCAACGCCGCGGGAGUGAUGAAGGUCUACGGAUCGUAAAACGAUGUUAGUAGGGAAGUACAAAUGUGUAAGUAACUAGGAACGUCAUGACGGUACCUAAUCAGAAAGCCACGGCUAACUACGUG
Molecule: ribosomal RNA, 497 nt
Filed under: uncultured bacterium
Lineage: Bacteria
Description: partial 16S ribosomal RNA
Rfam family: Bacterial small subunit ribosomal RNA
Source: RNAcentral